GAUGAACGCUGGCGGCGUGCUUAACACAUGCAAGUCGAACGGGAAUGCUUCGCUGAUGCGAUUUCGGUCAAAUCUUGAAGCAUUUUAGUGGCGGACGGGUGAGUAACGCGUGGGUAACCUGCCCUGUACAGGGGGACAACAGUUGGAAACGACUGCUAAUACCGCAUAAGCGCACAGCUUCGCAUGAAGCAGUGUGAAAAACUCCGGUGGUACAGGAUGGACCCGCGUCUGAUUAGAUAGUUGGUGAGGUAACGGCCCACCAAGUCAACGAUCAGUAGCCGGCCUGAGAGGGCGAACGGCCACAUUGGGACUGAGACACGGCCCAAACUCCUACGGGAGGCAGCAGUGGGGAAUAUUGCACAAUGGGGGAAACCCGUAGAUGCAGCGACGCCGCGUGAGUGAAGAAGUAUUUCGGUAUGUAAAGACUCUAUCAGCAGGGAAGAAAGAACAUGACGGUACCUGACUAAGAAGACCCCGGCCUAACUAACGUGCCAG
Molecule: ribosomal RNA, 495 nt
Filed under: uncultured bacterium
Lineage: Bacteria
Description: bacterial SSU rRNA
Rfam family: Bacterial small subunit ribosomal RNA
Source: RNAcentral